Molecule: ribosomal RNA, 253 nt
Filed under: uncultured bacterium
Lineage: Bacteria
Description: partial 16S ribosomal RNA
Rfam family: Bacterial small subunit ribosomal RNA
Source: RNAcentral
UACGAAGGGUGCAAGCGUUACUCGGAAUUAUUGGGCGUAAAGCGCGUGUAGGCGGCUUGGCAAGUCGGGUGUGAAAUCCCUCAGCUUAACUGAGGAAGUGCGCCCGAAACUGCUUUGCUUGAGUGCCGGAGAGGAUGGCGGAAUUCCCCAAGUAGAGGUGAAAUUCGUAGAUAUGGGGAGGAACACCGGUGGCGAAGGCGGCCAUCUGGACGGUAACUGACGCUGAGACGCGAAAGCGUGGGUAGCAAACAGG